UUCCGGUUGAUCCUGCCGGAGGCCAUUGCUAUUGGGAUUCGAUUUAGCCAUGCUAGUCGCACGAGUUCAGACUCGUGGCGAAUAGCUCAGUAACACGUGGCCAAACUACCCUUCGGAGCACGAUACCCUCGGGAAACUGAGGUUAAUAGUGCAUACCACAAUCCAGCUGGAAUGAGGAUUGUGCCAAAUGCUCCGGCGCCGAAGGAUGUGGCUGCGGCCGAUUAGGUAGACGGUGGGGUAACGGCCCACCGUGCCAAUAAUCGGUACGGGUCAUGAGAGUGAGAACCCGGAGACGGAAUCUGAGACAAGAUUCCGGGCCCUACGGGGCGCAGCAGGCGCGAAACCUUUACACUGCACGCCAGUGCGAUAAGGGGAUCCCAAGUGCGUAGGCAUAGAGCCUACGCUUUUGUACACCGUAGGGAGGUGUACGAAUAAGGGCUGGGCAAGACCGGUGCCAGCCGCCGCGGUAAUACCGGCAGCCCAAGUGAUGGCCGAUUUUAUUGGGCCUAAAGCGUCCGUAGCUGGCCGCGCAAGUCCAUCGGAAAAUCCACCCGCUCAACGGGUGGGCGUCCGGUGGAAACUGCGUGGCUUGGGACCGGAAGGCGCGACGGGUACGUCCGGGGUAGGAGUGAAAUCCCGUAAUCCUGGACGGACCGCCGAUGGCGAAAGCACGUCGCGAGGACGGAUCCGACAGUGAGGGACGAAAGCUAGGGUCUCGAACCGGAUUAGAUACCCGGGUAGUCCUAGCCGUAAACAAUGUCUGUUAGGUGGUGGCUCCCACUACGAGUGGGUGCUGUGCCGUAGGGAAGCCCGCUAAACAGACCGCCUGGGAAGUACGUCCGCAAGGAUGAAACUUAAAGGAAUUGGCGGGGGAGCAC
This 878-nucleotide ribosomal RNA is filed under the name uncultured archaeon. RNAcentral's name for it is "bacterial SSU rRNA". It matches the Rfam family "Archaeal small subunit ribosomal RNA", at positions 1 to 879 of the family's 1478-position model. The record is from RNAcentral.